Molecule: transfer RNA, 101 nt
Filed under: Rhizoctonia solani
Lineage: Eukaryota; Fungi; Basidiomycota; Agaricomycetes; Cantharellales; Ceratobasidiaceae
Description: tRNA-Cys
Rfam family: tRNA
About the family: Transfer RNA (tRNA) molecules are approximately 80 nucleotides in length. Their secondary structure includes four short double-helical elements and three loops (D, anti-codon, and T loops). Further hydrogen bonds mediate the characteristic L-shaped molecular structure. tRNAs have two regions of fundamental functional importance: the anti-codon, which is responsible for specific mRNA codon recognition, and the 3' end, to which the tRNAs corresponding amino acid is attached (by aminoacyl-tRNA synthetases). tRNAs cope with the degeneracy of the genetic code in two manners: having more than one tRNA (with a specific anti-codon) for a particular amino acid; and 'wobble' base-pairing, i.e. permitting non-standard base-pairing at the 3rd anti-codon position.
Source: RNAcentral
GGGGUAGAAGCUCAGUGGUUGAGCAAUCGAUUGCAGUUCAAAGCGCGGAUCUCGAGCACACAACAAUCGAUAGGCCGUGUGUUCGAUCCACACCUGCCCCU